Molecule: long non-coding RNA, 564 nt
Filed under: Monodelphis domestica (gray short-tailed opossum)
Lineage: Eukaryota; Metazoa; Chordata; Mammalia; Didelphimorphia; Didelphidae
Description: lncRNA (ENSMODG00000030674.2)
Source: RNAcentral
GGCUUCCUCGGGGCAUAAAGUUUGGACUCUAAUUCACUUUUCACUCUGGAUAGUUAAGAUUGAUUUGCCCCAGGGGCUUUGGGGAGGAUGGCUCUUGUGUCAACAUGGCAGGAUAGUACCCAGGCUGCAGGGUCACCUCUGAAGCCCCUCGGUUAUAAAUAGCUUCAAAACUGCCUUAACAGCUGGCAGUCGGCCAAUGGAGAGGAAAACAGAUUGAGGUGAGCUGCAGGAAGUAGAUCACGGUAGGAAGGAGGAGACCUAAGAGGAAAGAGUCAUAUGGAAAAAUAAACAAGGGCAUUUUAGGGUACCAGAAGAGAAAAGCAGUAUUUCCAUGUUGCUAUUUUAGUAUUAGGCUUCUCGACCAUUCCACUCUCUCUACCCCGUACCUGUCGAGGAAAGGAAGAGCCGGCGGGAGUCAGUGAGAAGGAAGAACUAAGGAUGAGUUUUGAAGAAGUCAAGAAUAACCUGUUUAUGUCAAUAAAGUGGCCAUAGCAAAUGUAUGCAUGGCAUUAAAUUACUUUUUUUUUCUUUUGUGAACUCAAACUUUAAAACAUUGAAGAUUCA